AGUCACAUCUUGUCAAGAUGUGGUGUUUUACAGCACUCCAGUUGUGAGUCACGGUUUUAAACGAUAAUUAAAAGUAAAAUGAGAGGCAUAAAGGCCACAGAUGUUUUGCAAUGCCGAUUUUAAUAGUAUUCUCCUGUCAGGUCACACUGUUUUAACAUGAAUGUCAAAAAGUGUAUUUUCUAAACUGCAAACUUGCCCAAACUUUUGAAAAAGAUUUAAUAAGAAAACAAAAACUGCACACAAACACAAGUGAACACAAAUUCUAAAAAUGUUUAAUCCAGCAUACAAUAUCAGUCUCUAGUGUUGUUUUUUUUUUCAAGCAUUUUAAAAUGUUUAAAAAUGACUAUUUCCUUUCUGGUUCCAUAUCUGGACUGGAAGAAUAAAGUGUCUUAGUGCUACAUCCAUUCUCUUGAACCAUGUUUUACCAGUAUGCUUGUGAGAGAAUUCAGAAGAAUUUUAUUGCUAAAAUAACUCAAGAGCCCGGCCUCACUA
Molecule: long non-coding RNA, 492 nt
Organism: Hippocampus comes (tiger tail seahorse)
Lineage: Eukaryota; Metazoa; Chordata; Actinopteri; Syngnathiformes; Syngnathidae
Exons: 2
Source: RefSeq, a predicted model, not a curated record